AAUCACAUGAUUAUGUAAUUAAAGCUUCGGCGGUUAAAGAUGGGCAUGCGUCCCAUUAGUUAGUUGGUGAGGUAACGGCUCACCAAGACUACGAUGGGUAGGGGGCCUGAGAGGGUGACCCCCCACACUGGUACUGAGACACGGACCAGACUCCUACGGGAGGCAGCAGUGAGGAAUAUUGGACAAUGGGCGAAAGCCUGAUCCAGCCAUGCCGCGUGAAGGAUUGAAGGCUCUAUGGGUUGUAAACUUCUUUUUUAUGGGAAGAAACCCUCGAACGUGUUCGAGGCUGACGGUACCAUAAGAAUAAGCACCGGCUAACUCCGUGCCAGCAGCCGCGGUAAUACGGAGGGUGCAAGCGUUAUCCGGAUUUAUUGGGUUUAAAGGGUCCGUAGGCGGAUUAAUAAGUCAGUGGUGAAAGCCUACAGCUCAACUGUAGAACUGCCAUUGAUACUGUUAAUCUUGAGUUUGGUUGAGGUAAGCGGAAUGAGACAUGUAGCGGUGAAAUACUUAGAUAUGUCUCAGAACACCAAUUGCGAAGGCAGCUUACUAAACCAAUACUGACGCUGAUGGACGAAAGCGUGGGGAGCGAACAGGAUUAGAUACCCUGGUAGUCCACGCCGUAAACGAUGAUUACUCGUUGCUAGCGAUACACAGUUAGUGACCAAGCGAAAGUGUUAAGUAAUCCACCUGGGGAGUACGGUCGCAAGAUUGAAACUCAAAGGAAUUGACGGGGGCCCGCACAAGCAGUGGAGCAUGUGGUUUAAUUCGAUGAUACGCGAGGAACCUUACCAGGGCUUAAAUGUGCUAUGACCUCUCGGGAAACCGAGAUUCUCUUCGGAGCAAAGUACAAGGUGCUGCAUGGUUGUCGUCAGCUCGUGCCGUGAGGUGUCGGGUUAAGUCCCAUAACGAGCGCAACCCCUAUCUUUAGUUGCCAGCGAGUAAUGUCGGGGACUCUAAAGAAACUGCCCGCGCAAGCGAGGAGGAAGGUGGGGAUGACGUCAAAUCAUCACGGCCCUUACGUCCUGGGCCACACACGUGCUACAAUGGUGCAUACAGAGGGCAGCAACCUGGUGACAGGAAGCGAAUCUCUAAAGUGCAUCUCAGUUCGGAUUGAAGUCUGCAACUCGACUUCAUGAAGCCGGAAUUGCUAGUAAUCGCGCAUCAGCCAUGGCGCGGUGAAUACGUUCCCGGGCCUUGUACACACCGCCCGUCAAGCCAUGGAAGCUGGGGGUGCCUGAAGUCGGUAACCGCAAGGAGCUGCCUAGGGUAAAACUGGUGACUGGGGCUAAGUCGUAACAAGGUA
This 1303-nucleotide ribosomal RNA is filed under the name metagenome. RNAcentral describes it as "bacterial SSU rRNA". It matches the Rfam family "Bacterial small subunit ribosomal RNA", at positions 184 to 1498 of the family's 1533-position model. The record is from RNAcentral.